AGUGACAGUAGGAGGUGGAGUAGUAGCCGGUAUAGUAGACGUCUUGUUGAGGUGGAAUCCGGCGGCCAGCCCAGUUUCUAGUAGGCCGUAUAAGUCCAGAUCCCCCGGCAGAAGGUUAAAAAUCGCGUCCCAAAAACCUCUUCCUCCGAAAGGGAACACAACAAACAGGAGGAGGAGCUAGAGACAGACAGAUCCACCUCCUCGCCGAUCGGGGGCCCAGAUCGCCUCGCUGCGGAGGUGGCCGAGGGGAGGAGCGGCCUCCCGAAUCCGCCUCGCCGUCAGCUGAUCGGGGCGUGAUCCGUGGCGGGAGGAGCAGCAAUGACGGCCGAGGGGACGGCGUGCAACGGCGCCGGCGAGGCGCCCAAGGCGGAAUUCUCGCCGGAGAAGGCGGUGGCGGCCGGGGAGCGCGAGGGCGAAGACGUCGGCGGGCCGUUCGUGAUCGAGAUUGUACAUGCCGCAACCCCACGCAACUCUAGUAAUGAUUGGUAACGGCGUCCUGUCUUGCAGUAAAAGGCAAAGUCGAAGCAGUUAUUGAACA
Molecule: long non-coding RNA, 538 nt
Organism: Panicum virgatum (switchgrass)
Lineage: Eukaryota; Viridiplantae; Streptophyta; Magnoliopsida; Poales; Poaceae
Exons: 2
Source: RefSeq, a predicted model, not a curated record